This 235-nucleotide ribosomal RNA is filed under the name uncultured bacterium. RNAcentral describes it as "partial 16S ribosomal RNA". It matches the Rfam family "Bacterial small subunit ribosomal RNA", at positions 99 to 334 of the family's 1533-position model. The record is from RNAcentral.
CGCACGGGUGAGUAACACGUAUCCAACCUGCCGUCUACUCUUGGACAGCCUUCUGAAAGGAAGAUUAAUACAAGAUGGCAUCAUGAGUCCGCAUGUUCACAUGAUUAAAGGUAUUCCGGUAGACGAUGGGGAUGCGUUCCAUUAGAUAGUAGGCGGGGUAACGGCCCACCUAGUCUUCGAUGGAUAGGGGUUCUGAGAGGAAGGUCCCCCACAUUGGAACUAAGACACGGUCCAA